UUUCAACUAUAGUCUCAGUUUAACUAAUCAAAUGCGGUUCAUUAAUGUUUCUCAUGGGUGAGUUUGUUGCUUGCUUGGAUUUUUCUUUUUUUAUGUAUAAAACAAAGACAUAUCUAAGCAUAACAAAAAAGAGUCAAUAUACGGGUUCAUAGCUCAGUGAUAAGAGUAUUUAUUUGCAAAUCAAUAGUCUGAGGUUCAAACAUCAAUAACACCUCUCCUUACCCCUCCCAAACUUUGACCAAAAACAAAACAAAAAACAAAAAACACAACAAAAAAGAGUUUCAUCCAAAUUGAAUUUCGUACGCAUUUGCAUUACCAUGUAAUUAAUGAGUCCCUCUCUCUAACAAAUACAAACAUUUGGGGCACUAAUUUUCAAAUUUUAUUAUGUGCCUCCAGCUCAUCAGUGCAUGAGGUGUAUUAUUUUGAUGAUAAAUUCCACGUGUUAUAAUAUUAAUUUCUUGGAUUGCAUUUCAGUCUGUCAUCUUCACAUUCACUAAUUAGGUUGUCAUCAUUUUUUCUCUUCUUACCAAAUGACUGACACAGACGCACCCGCCAAUGAUAUCCAUUCAAAACAAAACAAACUCAUUCUAAAACCAAGCUUCAAUGGCUUCCCUCCCAGGAAAAAAGAUGGACUUACUUAGGAGCAUUGGCAGCUACAACUACAAACUGCUGCGUGUUGCAUUGACAGUCAAUUGUUGGUCCAUUUUGG
RNAcentral lists this long non-coding RNA (709 nucleotides) under Prunus persica (peach). RNAcentral's name for it is "long non-coding RNA (PPER_LNC005139)". Lineage: Eukaryota; Viridiplantae; Streptophyta; Magnoliopsida; Rosales; Rosaceae. The record is from RNAcentral.